This 459-nucleotide ribosomal RNA is filed under the name uncultured bacterium. RNAcentral describes it as "partial 16S ribosomal RNA". It matches the Rfam family "Bacterial small subunit ribosomal RNA", at positions 338 to 795 of the family's 1533-position model. The record is from RNAcentral.
CCUACGGGAGGCAGCAGUGAGGAAUAUUGGUCAAUGGCCGGAAGGCUGAACCAGCCAAGCCGCGUGAAGGACGAAGGUGCCAAGCAUUGUAAACUUCUUUUGUCAAGGGACAAAAUCAGGCUCGAGAGCCUGACCGAGGGUACUUGAAGAAAAAGCAUCGGCUAACUCCGUGCCAGCAGCCGCGGUAAUACGGAGGAUGCGAGCGUUAUCCGGAUUUAUUGGGGUUAAAGGGUGCGUAGGCGGACUGUUAAGUCAGCGGGAAAAGCCCGGGGCUCAACCCCGGCGAGCCGUUGAAACUGGGUGUCUUGAGAUGUCGAGAGGUAUGCGGAAUGCGCAGUGUAGCGGUGAAAUGCUUAGAUAUUGCGCAGAACUCCGAUUGCGAAGGCAGCAUACCGGCGGCGAACUGACGCUGAGGCACGAAAGCGUGGGUAUCGAACAGGAUUAGAUACCCCGGUAGUC